AAAGUGAUGGUAUAUCGAUUGGUCGUAUACCCCUACCGCUAGUCUUAGUCAUGCGUAAGCAGUACAUAUACGACGGUACAGUUCUUACGACCAUACAUGCACAUAUUUUUAUCUCUCAUGGCUGAUAUGAGAUUAUAUUGAUUGAUUUCAUAGUUCUUUAUUUAUUUCAUAUUUAAAUGUAAUUUAGCUAUCAAUAUUAUUUUAUUAUAUUAUAAUUCAUGUAUCUUGGGCAAGGUCAAAACCCGUGUCAACAGCACUAGGUUAAAAACCGGCGCGGCGGUGGGGGGAGGCAGGUGCUGGCGGAACAAACACCACAGCCGGCGCUGGGCGAGCGGGGUGCGGACGAGCUAGGCCGGCUUGCCUUAGUGGGCCGUAGCGAGGAGGUGGAGCAAGCCGGGGCGGAAGGAUGAGUGGGCCGUGUGGUGAGAUGGGCUAGGCAAGCGGAUUGGGAGUCCGGGCUAGGCCGCAGCGAAAAGUGGAAGAGAGGUGGGUUGCGAGCUAGGCCGAGUGAGAAGCGGGCUGGAAUUUGUGUUGCUGGCCCGUGAGAGAUAGAGAAGGGUUUUUGAUUUAUUUGAUGCGGUUUUAGAUCCAAUUUAAUUUGGAUUUCGAAUUUGGGUGGGAUUCAAAGUAUGGGCUUGAAAUAUAAGAAUGGGGCUUUUGAAAGGGUUUUGCAGAUUAGAAAUAGUUGUGCAUGACUAUGAUGGCUAGUGUUUUUAUGGUGUUUUGAAUAGAAUUAAUAUUCAAAUUAGAUUUGAGUAUUAGCUUCGGGUUUUUUUAAGAAAGGGAAUAUUUUUAAAAGGUUUCUAGAACUUUUGGGGAGGUUUAAAGGGUUUAAUUGAUGAGAGGAAAUGUUUGAAUAUUUCAUAGGUUUUAAUGGAGUUACUAUUUGAAUAGAAUUCGAAUAUUGAUUCAAAGGAUUCGGAAGGAAAAGUUUAAGAGGGAUCGCUAGAGCAAUCAAACGCAACAUGCCAGUAUUUUAUGCAAGGUCUAUUUAUAAAAAGGUUUUGGUAUUCGGGGAAGAGAGGAUGUGUUUAUUUUAAGAAAAAUUUCAUAAAGUCCGUAUUUUUAAGAGAAGUGAUUAGGGGAAAGCGAAGAGCCUAUACACAUAUUAUGCCAUUCUAAACCGGCUAUUAAGGAAGACCCUUACACCUAGAGAUGGAAAUACUUCCGAUGUGACACUCUUCCAAAGGAACUUAAUGGUGGCUUUGAAACCGGGAGAACCUCAAUUUAG
This 1231-nucleotide long non-coding RNA is filed under the name Setaria viridis. RNAcentral describes it as "long non-coding RNA (SVIR_LNC001886)". The record is from RNAcentral. Lineage: Eukaryota; Viridiplantae; Streptophyta; Magnoliopsida; Poales; Poaceae.